UUUUUUUUUCAGUGUGAGGGGCAUGGAAUGAGGUUUCACCAUGCUGCUCAGGCUGGUCUUGAACUCCUGGGCUCAACCUGCCUGCCUGCCUCAGGCCUUGCAGAGUGCUGCGAGUACAGGUGUAAGCCACCGUGGCUGGCCAAUCCUGGAGAAGUUCUUACCCCUCUGAGCCUCCACUUCCUCACCUCUAUGAUGGGCUAGUGGCUGCCCCCACCUGCAGGGUUGUGAGAAUUACAUGGAAUGAGACAUGCAUCAUGUCCUGGGUAGUGCUUGGCAGGUAGCCCUCGUUAUUGUUACAUAAUGAAGCAUUGAGCAGUUACUGAACACCUGCUGUGGGCCCAACACUGUGCUGGGCCUUGUGGAUGAGGCCAACCUGGGACCAGAACAGCCUUUGGCCUCAGGAGGCUCACAGUCUAAGGAGUAGAGGGGCACAUGUGAGGAUGACACCCCCGUACCCCACCCACACCCAGAAUUGCCGUGGAAAGUUUGCUUUGGGGGAUUCAGGGAGCCUGGCCUCACCUGGCCCUAUCUAGAGUUGAGAGGAGGUCUCUAGGCUGAGGGCAAUCCCUGUGCCCCUCCUGCAGGACAGCUAACCCCCGCAUCGGUGACGUGAUCCAGAAGCUGGCCCCCUUCCUGAAGAUGUACAGUGAGUAUGUCAAGAACUUUGAGCGAGCGGCUGAGCUGCUGGCCACCUGGACCGACAAGUCUCCACUCUUCCAGGAGGUUCUCACUCGCAUCCAGAGCAGCGAGGCUUCGGGCAGCCUGACCCUGCAGCACCACAUGCUGGAACCAGUGCAGAGAAUUCCACGUUACGAGCUGCUGCUCAAGGAGUACAUCCAGAAGCUGCCAGCCCAGGCCCCAGACCAGGCCGAUGCCCAGAAAGCCCUGGACAUGAUCUUCUCAGCUGCCCAGCACUCCAAUGCAGCCAUCACUGAGAUGGAGCGGCUGCAGGACCUGUGGGAGGUGUACCAGCGCCUGGGCCUCGAGGACGACAUAGUAGACCCCUCUAACACCCUGCUCCGUGAGGGCCCGGUCCUCAAGAUCUCCUUCCGCCGCAACGACCCCAUGGAGCGCUACCUUUUCUUGUUCAACAACAUGCUGCUCUACUGUGUGCCCAGGGUGAUCCAGGUGGGCGCCCAGUUCCAGGUGAGGACCCGCAUCGAUGUGGCCGGGAUGAAGGUGCGGGAGCUGAUGGAUGCUGAGUUUCCCCACUCCUUCCUGGUGUCCGGGAAGCAGCGCACCCUGGAGCUGCAAGCCCGGUCCCAGGAGGAAAUGAUUUCCUGGAUGCAGGCCUUCCAAGCAGCCAUUGACCAAAUCGAGAAGCGGAAUGAAACCUUCAAGGCUGCGGCCCAGGGGCCUGAGGGAGACACCCAGGAGCAGGAGCUGCAGUCUGAGGAGCUGGGCCUCCGGGCACCGCAGUGGGUCCGGGACAAGAUGGUGACCAUGUGCAUGCGCUGCCAGGAGCCCUUCAACGCUCUGACGCGCCGUCGCCACCACUGCCGGGCCUGCGGCUAUGUGGUGUGUGCCAGGUGCUCCGACUACCGGGCCGAACUGAAAUACGACGACAACAGGCCCAACCGAGUCUGCCUCCACUGCUACGCAUUCCUCACUGGAAAUGUGCUGCCUGAGGCCAAGGAGGACAAGAGGCGGGGCAUCCUGGAGAAAGGGUCCUCAGCCACGCCUGACCAGAGCCUGAUGUGCAGCUUCCUGCAGCUCAUCGGGGACAAGUGGGGCAAGAGCGGCCCCCGGGGCUGGUGUGUGAUCCCUCGGGAUGACCCCCUCGUGCUCUAUGUCUACGCUGCCCCUCAGGACAUGAGGGCUCACACCUCCAUCCCCCUGCUGGGCUACCAGGUGACUGUUGGGCCCCAGGGGGACCCUCGGGUCUUCCAGUUACAGCAGUCAGGCCAGCUCUACACCUUCAAGGCCGAGACGGAGGAGCUGAAGGGCCGCUGGGUGAAGGCCAUGGAGCGGGCGGCCAGUGGCUGGAGCCCCAGCUGGCCCAACGACGGGGACCUGUCCGACUGAGCCACUGCCAGCCGCUCUCCUGCCCACCUCUCCCCACCCUGAACCCAGCUCCUGCCACAGACUGACCCUGUGGCCUCAGUGACCCACUGCCCCAAGUGGUGCUUUCAGAGAAUUGAUUCAGCCAUCUGCGCCCAGGCCACGUGUCCCAAUCUGGGAUUAGAAAAUAUGGGUCCAUUCCUUUCUAGAAAGGGGACAACCAAGUGUCUCAGUUUGCCUUGUGGGGAGGGGGCUCCUGGGCCUUGGGACUUCCAGUGCUAAAACUAGGAAAGCCCCAGGUAACCCCGGACUGGUGGUCACCAUAGUGUGGUUUUUCAUUUGUAUCUCCUGGGGAGCUUUUAAAGAGUACUGGUGAAAAACACAUAGUAAAUUAAUUUUAAAAAUGUAAAAAACAAUGCCUGUACUGAAGUACCACCAACGAUUUAAAUGGUCUGAGUUGGGGGAGGCAUGGGGUCUUUUUUUUUUUUUUUUUUUUGAGACAGAGUCUUACUCUGUUUCCCAGGCUGGAGUGCACAAACAUGGCUCACUACAGCCUCGCUCUCCUGGGCUCCAGUGAUCCUCCCGCCUCAGCCUCCCAAGUAGCUGGGAUUAUAGGUGUGUGCCACUGUGCCAAGCUAAUUUUUUUAUUUUUUGUAGAGAUGGGAUUUCACCACGUUACUCAGGCUGGUCUCAAACUCCCAGCCUCAAGCGAUGCUCCCACCUCCACCUCCCAAAGUGCUGGGAUUACAGGCGUGAGCCACCAUACCUGGCGCAUGCAUAUUUUUUAAGAGUACCCACUGGAGUCUAAUAUAUAGCCUGGGUUACCUGGGAUGAAGAAUAAAGAGAGCAAACUACCACAACCAAUGGUUGAGCCCCUGUCAAGUGCCAGUCAUGAUAGUAGUAAUAAUAAUAAUAAACAUCUAUUGGGCCAGG
This 2934-nucleotide small RNA is filed under the name Pan troglodytes (chimpanzee). RNAcentral's name for it is "retained intron". Lineage: Eukaryota; Metazoa; Chordata; Mammalia; Primates; Hominidae. The record is from RNAcentral.